RNAcentral lists this unclassified non-coding RNA (1096 nucleotides) under Hevea brasiliensis (rubber tree). Lineage: Eukaryota; Viridiplantae; Streptophyta; Magnoliopsida; Malpighiales; Euphorbiaceae. The record is from RNAcentral.
AUCUUCCAUGGCUAAACUACUUCUACGACCCUUUUCACAUCAAAGAAAGAUGCCUAGCACUUGUUCCUCGGGUGAAGAAACUCGUAAAGAAGAUUAUAGAAGAACAUGAUCAAAGUAAAAUGCCUAAAAAGCUCAUUGAUAACUCUGAUUUUGUUGAUGUCUUGCUUUCUUUGGAAGGAGAUGAGAAACUUGAAGAGGAUGAUAUGGUGGCUGUUCUAUGGGAAAUGAUCUUUCGAGGCACUGAUACUACUGCACUUCUAACUCAGUGGGUGAUGGCGGAGUUGGUUUUGAACCCUGAAAUUCAAGCCAAGCUUAGGAAUGAGCUCGAUUUCGUUGUAGGAGACGGGAGCGUCACAGAUGCUGACAUCCCUAAAUUACCCUACCUUCAGGCACUAGUCAAGGAAACCCUACGUGUGCACCCUCCAGGGCCCCUCCUAUCAUGGGCCCGAUUGUCUUCGUCUGAUGUCCACCUCAGCAAUGGCAUGGUCAUCCCUAGUAACACAAUUGCAAUGGUCAACAUGUGGGCCAUAACCCAUGACCCGAUAGUUUGGGAUGACGCGUUGGUGUUCAAGCCGGAAAGGUUCUUGAAGAGUCUAGGUGGUUCAGACGUGGAUGUGAGAGGUGGUGACCUCAGGCUUGCACCAUUUGGUGCAGGGCGUAGGGUUUGUCCUGGCAAGAACCUAGGGCUUGUGACAGUGAACCUCUGGGUGGCUAAGUUGGUGCAGCAUUUUGAAUGGGUUGAGGACGCUGCCAACCCAGUUGACCUCAGUGAGGUGUUGAGGCUGUCUUGUGAAAUGAAGAAUCCUCUCUCUGCCGUGGCUGUUCCCAGAAAUGGAGUUAAGCUUUUCUAGGGUUUACGCUUUGAUCCAAGAAUUGAGCUGGUGCAUGGCAAAAUAAAAAAAGAUAAAUUGGGAUGAAUAUUAUAUACUAUGGUUGUGAAAAUUAGAAUGUCGGUGAAAUGGGUGGCAUAGUAAUUAAUGGUGUUUGGAUGUUAAUUAAAUAAGUUGUUGAAUUAGUCUGGUCUUUCACCUUUGUUUUUAGAAGAGAGUGUGUGUCUUAUAUUGUAAGAAAAAAGUUUGACUAUGUUUGAAAGAAA